UUCUUUGAGAAUCUGCUGGAUUGGUGCUGUGGCCACUUCCCUUAGGGAGCCUGUUCCAGUGCCCAAACAUCCUCUAGGAGAGUAAC
Molecule: non-coding RNA, 86 nt
Organism: Sturnus vulgaris (Common starling)
Lineage: Eukaryota; Metazoa; Chordata; Aves; Passeriformes; Sturnidae
Source: RefSeq, a predicted model, not a curated record